CCUUCUGCCCAGGGUCCCUGAGUGUUGCUGCUGAGAUCCAGAACCCCUUCAGGCUCACCUUGGGCUGGGGCUCUGCCAGAGGUGGCACAAGGAUUCCCAUUCCGAAGACUCUCACUGAGACCUGCUUUUGCUGGCCUGGUUGGUGCAGGGCUUGAAGAUGCUGUGCUUAAUGCGACUUGUUACAGCUCUCACAGCACUCCCAGUUGAAUGGUUUCGACAGAUAAAGAAAUGGGGUUUGCAGUCUGGGACAGUGAGCAUCUACCCAGGAUAUGUCCUAGGGGUAGUGGGGGUGCAAAACAGAGCCUCUCCCUGCAGUGAGGACCCCUUCCACAAGCCCUUUCCAAGAGUCCCUAUGUGCCUGACCGCGUGCUGCCUGUGGCCCCACGUCGAGGGGGCAUGUAGAGCAGCCAGGGCAUCUGCUGGAGUUGAAGGAAUAGUGGAAAGGAAGGCCUGAAAGAGAAAAUGCAUGGCACCUGCGUUCUAUUAGGGGAAACACCCACACAGGUAAAGGAACACUGUUAUUUGUGGAAUUUGGAUCCAGUUGUCCAGUAAUCGUUGGCCGAAGAUCAUCCCAAAUUUUAGAUAGCGCUUCCUUCCAAAAUAUGGCGACCUUAGAUAACUGAGUAUCCAGGGAAGGGAUGUAAUAUAUGUAAACAGUUAAUACAGUUCAGCUCUUCCGACAUCUAUGUCAUUGGGUAGAUUGCCUUAGAGAGCUGCUUCUGCAAAUGUGAAGGCUUUGGGGGAAGUUUUCUCAGCCUGCGCUGGGCUAUUUGAGGGUGGAUCACUCAGGACCAGGAAUUUUGUUAGAUGUUGGCCUUUUUGAAAGCAGCGCCUACACUCAUUACAAAGUGUUUCUGAUCCAUUUUCAGGAAGCGCUCUGUUUGUAACACGUUGUUGGCAGUUUGGGCAGAGUCUUUUAAGUGGUGUGAAGUGCUGGGGAGUGUGCACUUGGGCUGGGCUGCCAGGAGGAGGUGGGUCUCCCGCCUCCUCUGCCCUUCUGGGAGGAGCCAGAAGUGCCUGGAUUUUUGUGACUUGGAAAUUAAAGCAAGAGGCAUGGGGAUUUUGAUGCUGAGAUCGUGAUUUGUCCUCAUUCGCCUCUGCCUGGGAAACUACAAAUGAGAAUUAAGGUAGGAAAACUAGCCAUACCAAGGGUUCUGUCUCAGCCUUCAUAAUAUGAAGCUGAAGAAUAAGUGGUUGUAGUUCCUCCGAGGGGAACUUCUUCAGUCUUGACCUAGUGCACUGAGUCAUUGAUUUCAAAUAACAAGAGACAAAAUGGGAAGAGCCAAUCAGCAUGUGAGCAGCAAAAUUGGUCUUGGGGAUGGUGCGAGUGGUUGUCUGUCCCAUUGUCAGUUGGUUGGUAGCAUGAGAUCACCAAGUUUAAUCCAGGGAGUCAGGAAUGACAGAGUGACGGGUCCUGGGAGUGGACCCUCCAUCUGUCUCACCAGCAGCCACUGGAGACGAAGCCCUCCUUGGUCCAGGAGGCUGCUGGGCAGGAAUAGGUGGGGAAGGUAGGAGGGUUGUGAAGCUUGAGUGUGGCCACUCCCCAGGGAGGGGCAUUGUGAGGUGGCCUUUGCUGGUUGUCUGGGCACUUUCUGAUGCAAAUGGAGGAAGCCAGGCCCAAAGGGCCUUUAUUAGGAAGUAAACUGGUCCAGCUCGGGAAAGUGAAGGAAGGAGGCUCCAGGACAUCAGAGACUGGGGUCAGCUCUCCUCUCUUCUUCAGCUCCAGGCAUGACUCUCAGCAUUACAUCCUUUCAGCUCUGCUUCCCCAGAGUUGAAACAAAUUCUCUCUCCAGCUUCCCCUGAAAAAAUCCGAGGGAAGGGCUCUGAUUGGCCCAGCACAGUCCUACCCACAGGGCCUUCAUUUAAACCUGACCCAUCUCCUCCGUGGAUGACUUCAGGACGUUCUACCUGGUCUCUGCUGCCAGUUUCCCUUUCCAGACCAGGCCACAUGUGCCCAAACUCAGUCUGAUGAAACCUUGGCAAAGUCAAGGAUCCAGGCCCUGCCCAGCCCGGUCUUAGACUUCCUCUGAAGUUUACCUCCCAAGCAUCCCCGAAGGACUCACAGCUCCAGCUAAACCUGGAGGCAAGACAACGCACUGCCAUGGCAGUGCGUGUUCCUCUCCAGUCCCCGCCGUGGGGGAAUAGAACGAUGUCCUUGUAAAGAGCAAGGCUGUGACUUGCUCACUUGUGCACCUCAGUACCUAGAGCAGAGUCUGAUGCAGAGAGGGGUUUAAUCAACAUUUGAUGGAGAAACAAACAGAUGAGUGAAGAAUCCCAAGAAACACUUAAGAGCUAAUGCUAUGACAGAACUGGAUAUUAAACUCCACGGGCUGGGAUGGUCCAGGAAGGCUUUCUGAUGGAGUCAGGACUCAAAAUGGAGCAGAGAGGGAACUAGCCUGGGACUCAGGGAGGAGUGGAGUUGGGAAAAUCAGUCUAGAAUGAAAGUGAGGAUGCUGGGGAGGGGAUGACUCCAGGAACUGGGAGGUCAAGCAAAGGUUGGACUGCAUGCAGUGGUCAGAGGGAGCCAGCGUAGGUUGUUGGGCCAGGGAAGGAUGUGGGAGAAAAGUCUAGAGUUUCUGGCUGGGGGCACUGGUCAUCCAUCUGUCUCACCUAAGACAGGACUGGCUCUCCAAAUCGCGGGGGACAGGGACGAUGGCCAGCUUGUUCCCAUGAGCAAGAAAAACCUUCAGGGGAAAGAAGGCCUCAAAGAAUGGCUAGUGUUAUAAAAAGAUUUUUUCCUUGUCAAAUCUAUGGGGGAAAUAUGUGUACAAUAGCUGUAGUAAUACAGUGAUUAUUAGUCCUUACUAAUUUAUUUUCAUGUUUUAAAUUUUCUUUGGAAAUCAG
Long non-coding RNA from Equus caballus (horse), 2844 nucleotides. NCBI's taxonomy places the organism in Eukaryota, Metazoa, Chordata, Mammalia, Perissodactyla, Equidae. The record is from Ensembl.